GUGGAUUAGUGGCGAACGGGUGAGUAACACGUGAGUAACCUGCCCUUAACUCUGGGAUAAGCCUGGGAAACUGGGUCUAAUACCGGAUAGGAGCGCCCACCGCAUGGUGGGUGUUGGAAAGAUUUAUCGGUUUUGGAUGGACUCGCGGCCUAUCAGCUUGUUGGUGAGGUAAUGGCUCACCAAGGCGACGACGGGUAGCCGGCCUGAGAGGGUGACCGGCCACACUGGGACUGAGACACGGCCCAGACUCCUACGGGAGGCAGCAGUGGGGAAUAUUGCACAAUGGGCGCAAGCCUGAUGCAGCGACGCCGCGUGAGGGAUGACGGCCUUCGGGUUGUAAACCUCUUUCAGUAGGGAAGAAGCGAAAGUGACGGUACCUGCAGAAGAAGCACCGGCUAACUACGUGCCAGCAGCCGCGGUAAUACGUAGGGUGCGAGCGUUAUCCGGAAUUAUUGGGCGUAAAGAGCUCGUAGGCGGUUUGUCGCGUCUGUCGUGAAAGUCCGGGGCUUAACCCCGGAUCUGCGGUGGGUACGGGCAGACUAGAGUGCAGUAGGGGAGACUGGAAUUCCUGGUGUAGCGGUGGAAUGCGCAGAUAUCAGGAGGAACACCGAUGGCGAAGGCAGGUCUCUGGGCUGUAACUGACGCUGAGGAGCGAAAGCAUGGGGGAGCGAACAGGAUUAGAUACCCUGGUAGUCCAUGCCGUAAACGUU
RNAcentral lists this ribosomal RNA (710 nucleotides) under Micrococcus sp. KLBMP 1289. Its description in RNAcentral is "bacterial SSU rRNA". It matches the Rfam family "Bacterial small subunit ribosomal RNA", at positions 87 to 810 of the family's 1533-position model. Lineage: Bacteria; Bacillati; Actinomycetota; Actinomycetes; Micrococcales; Micrococcaceae. The record is from RNAcentral.